UAUGUGUGCCUUCGCUGGAGCGUACUACGUUGUUCCGCGCUCCGCCCGUGAGGAGUGACGUGGCACCGCGUAUUCUACCGCAGUGCAUUCGUCGCUGCGUUCGUGCCUGUUAUGUGCGCUGCAACCUCGCCUUUGAAAGGACGACAACCUUGCUUUUUAAUUACAAGUUUAAUGUUUGCUUAAGACGAUGGACACAUUGCAAAUGGCGGCAGGAGUGGAUCGGCUACAUCGGUGAAGCGACGAUUUAUAUUACAAGCGAGGCUAAUUGUAUUCUUUCGUUAUAGGUGAAUGUGGGACUGUAUCGACUGCAAGGACGUGAGUUACAAAAAGCUGUAAUAUUCUAGCAUUAACGUUUGAACAAUACCAGCGUGAUGUUCACUUCGGUUUCUUUACAGGUAGUGUCCUGUCUCAACGGUCACGCAUAUGCGUGCAAAACUGCAACUGCUUCUCACAUCGAAGAGGGGUCUGGUGCACAUGCUCGGACAAUUAUUCGUCGGCCAUUUCGUUUGAGGAACUGUCGUGUUCGUCACUAAGGAUGGUCUUGGUUGAGCUUUGCAGUGCCAGCCUGGUGCAUCGGAGGGGUUGUGUCCAUGCAACGUGUGCUACAUAUGUGUGUGUUGGGAUUAGUAAACCGUGUAUGCUUUCCAUUCGGCCAACGAUGAUGUACUGGAUGAAAUUUAAAGGUGCAUUUCCCAAAUGCUGCAGUGGCUGUGCAUUUGGUGCUCGUGGAAAUUUCUUGUGUCCUGAGUAA
Molecule: long non-coding RNA, 751 nt
Organism: Ornithodoros turicata
Lineage: Eukaryota; Metazoa; Arthropoda; Arachnida; Ixodida; Argasidae
Exons: 3
Source: RefSeq, a predicted model, not a curated record